AUUUCACAUCAUUUUCUCGCAAUGAGAUAAAUCAUCUUGUAGGUAAAAUGUACUUGAAGUAGGCUGGAAUGCUCUCAAUAGCAUCAAGUUCUUGGUGCUAUUAAGUUUUUGGUCCUUGGAUAAAGAAAUGUACGGUUAGCAUGAUGUGGGUCCCCUAGUGUUGAGUGAGUUGUUGGUUGAAUAGUAUAAUCUAACGGAUGGAAAUAAUUAAAUAAUUAAAUUUAACAGCGGAAAACUCGAUAGCACUAAGUGCUUGGUGCUAUCGAUAGUAUCCCAACCAAAUUCAAUAUACUUUCCUAUCAAAUCAUAAAUGCCUAGAUGCUAAGAUCUUUCAACAAGCAAAAAACAAACUUCUUUCUGUAUAUCAUAUAAGAAAAUUUUUAUUUGGAAUUAGUUAUCAUUAGAUUACUUAUUUGAACAUCUAAUCAUGUUUUAAUUAUUAUAAUACAUAAUUUGACGUUUGUUCAAUCUACGAGGCAUUCUCUCCUUUGUUCUCUUCACGUAGUUGGCUCUAUCUCCCUUUCCUGUUUUCCCUCUCCAGAUACGUUUCUCUCUCCUAUUUUCUCUUUCUCUCCUUCUGUCUCUCUCUAUCAUAUCUUAUAAGAUCUCAUAAUAAUCUCAUAUUCCUCUCUCUUCUAGGUAAUUAUUAUGCUCUCAGGGCUCUAACUCUCAUUCGUACAACUCUCUUUUUCUUUUUUGAUCUUUCUAUCGUAUCAUAUAUCAUAUAUUAUAGAAUCUUACAAAAUCUUCUAAAAAUUUUUAUAAUUUUUUUUCUCUAUCAAAAUAAUAAAAUUCUUUUAAUUUUUCUCCCAUCUCUUUCUUCCAAUCGUAUCUCCAUUUUUUUUCUCUAUCAAAACAAUAAAAUUCUUUUAAUUUUUCUCCCAUCUUUUUCUUCCAAUCUUAUCUCCUUUUUUUCUCUCCUCCUUUUUACCUUAUCCACCUCUCUCUCUCUCUCUCCUCCUAUGCCUCUCUCUCUCCCUCUCUCCU
RNAcentral lists this long non-coding RNA (987 nucleotides) under Ananas comosus (pineapple). RNAcentral describes it as "long non-coding RNA (ACOM_LNC008652)". The record is from RNAcentral. Lineage: Eukaryota; Viridiplantae; Streptophyta; Magnoliopsida; Poales; Bromeliaceae.